RNAcentral lists this ribosomal RNA (459 nucleotides) under uncultured bacterium. RNAcentral's name for it is "partial 16S ribosomal RNA". It matches the Rfam family "Bacterial small subunit ribosomal RNA", at positions 338 to 795 of the family's 1533-position model. The record is from RNAcentral.
CCUACGGGAGGCAGCAGUGAGGAAUAUUGGUCAAUGGGCGAGAGCCUGAACCAGCCAAGUCGCGUGAGGGACGACGGUCCUAUGGAUUGUAAACCUCUUUUGUCGGGGAACAAAGGCGCCCACGGGUGGGCGGAUGAGUGUACCCGACGAAAAAGCAUCGGCUAACGCCGUGCCAGCAACCGCGGUACUACGGAGGAUGCAAGCGUUAUCCGGAUUUAUUUGGGUUAAAGAGUGCGUAGGAGGACAGUAAAGUCAGCGGUAAAAAUGCGGUGCGGAACGCCGUACAGCCGUUGAAACGGGCAGUCUUGAGUGGGCGAGAGGGAUGAGGAAUGCGGGGUGUAGCGGUGAAAUGCAUAGAUAUCACGAAGAAAUCCGAUUGCGAAGGCAGCAUACCGGCGCACGACUGACGCUGAGGCACGAAAGCGUGGGUAUCGAACAGGAUUAGAUACCCGGGUAGUC